This 326-nucleotide RNase P RNA is filed under the name Halanaeroarchaeum sulfurireducens. RNAcentral describes it as "Archaeal RNase P". It matches the Rfam family "Archaeal RNase P". From Rfam's summary of the family: Ribonuclease P (RNase P) is a ubiquitous endoribonuclease, found in archaea, bacteria and eukarya as well as chloroplasts and mitochondria. Its best characterised activity is the generation of mature 5'-ends of tRNAs by cleaving the 5'-leader elements of precursor-tRNAs. Cellular RNase Ps are ribonucleoproteins. Lineage: Archaea; Methanobacteriati; Methanobacteriota; Halobacteria; Halobacteriales; Halobacteriaceae. The record is from Rfam by way of RNAcentral.
GGCAGCGGACGCCCGGCCCCCGUGCAACAGCGCAUGAGGAAAGUCCCCCCACCGUCGGGCAGGCGACCGGGUGCAAACCCGGGGCGGGAGACCGUGGGGCCCUGGAACAGAAACGACACGUCUCCGUCAGACCGAUGCGGUGUGCGACUCCGGGCCGAGUUUCGACGAGGACCGGGACGUUAACCCACCGAGGGACGACGACGGAGGACCGAUGGAACGGCCAUCCCUCGCCGGUGCAAGUCCGCGCGGGUAAGGUAGCCCGACGAGCGCGCGGAUGCUCAGCCGAAUGCCGGGUCGAAACAGAAGGGGGCUUACGAUCCGCAGCC